UGUGGCGGAAAAAUCCACUAAGCUACUUGACUAAAAAAAAUGAUGAAAAAAAAGUAGUUUUAACCUAGAGAAAAAUAUGGAAUCUGUGAAUAUAAGAAAGUUUAAAAAUUUAAAAAAGGACAUAUAGUUUUAGAAUUAUGAAAUGAAACAAUACUUAAUUUUGUAAUUACCUAAUAAGCCAAAGCCAGCAGAUAGACUAUGUUGCAUCCACAUCAUAGGCGCAUGUAAGUGGAUUACAUGUAUAGCAUAAUGAUAAUGAUUAUAAUUUGUUGCAUGGAUCGAGAUCCUAGGAUGUUAUUUUACCACUUCUCUGGGUGCUAAUCCUUGUAUUCUACGUGCUGCUUUAGGGAAGGAUAGUCUUAGAAUAAACAGGGUUCAGUUUGCUUUCUUAGGUUUUCUUUUGCUCCUCAUUCAUGCUUUGGUUACAAGCAUGGAAGUUUUGCUUUUGUUUUGGUUCAAAGGAGGGUUUGUAUUGGGUUAAGCUUGUCUUGCUUCUGUUUUGUGAAUUUGAUCGUAC
Molecule: long non-coding RNA, 517 nt
Filed under: Trifolium pratense (red clover)
Lineage: Eukaryota; Viridiplantae; Streptophyta; Magnoliopsida; Fabales; Fabaceae
Description: long non-coding RNA (TPRA_LNC005771)
Source: RNAcentral